UCAUUCAAACUUUACGCCAAAAUCUAACCAAAUCUUAAAUCCUAAAAAAACCCUAAUAAAAUCCUAAAUCCUAAAUCAAACCCUAACCAAAUCCUAAAUCUUACACCAAAUCCUAAUCAAAUCCUAAUAAAAUCCUAAAUCUUAAAUCAAAUCCUAACCAAAUCUUAACCAAAUCCUAAAUCCUAAACCAAACCUUAAUUCUAAAUCAAAUUCUAAUCAAAUCCUAAAUCCUACACCAAAUCCUAACCAAACCCUAAUCCUAAACCAAAUCCUAAUCUUAAAUCAAAU
Molecule: long non-coding RNA, 288 nt
Filed under: Physcomitrium patens
Lineage: Eukaryota; Viridiplantae; Streptophyta; Bryopsida; Funariales; Funariaceae
Description: long non-coding RNA (PPAT_LNC011747)
Source: RNAcentral